GACGAACGCUGGCGGCGUGCUUAACACAUGCAAGUCGAACGGAAAGGCCCUGCUUUUGUGGGGUGCUCGAGUGGCGAACGGGUGAGUAACACGUGAGUAACCUGCCCUUGACUUUGGGAUAACUUCAGGAAACUGGGGCUAAUACCGGAUAGGAGCUCCUGCUGCAUGGUGGGGGUUGGAAAGUUUCGGCGGUUGGGGAUGGACUCGCGGCCUAUCAGCUUGUUGGUGGGGUAGUGGCUUACCAAGGCUUUGACGGGUAGCCGGCCUGAGAGGGUGACCGGCCACAUUGGGACUGAGAUACGGCCCAGACUCCUACGGGAGGCAGCAGUGGGGAAUAUUGCACAAUGGGCGGAAGCCUGAUGCAGCAACGCCGCGUGCGGGAUGACGGGCUUCGGGUUGUAAACCGCUUUCGCCUGUGACGAAGCGUGAGUGACGGUAAUGGGUAAAGAAGCACCGGCUAACUACGUG
RNAcentral lists this ribosomal RNA (468 nucleotides) under uncultured bacterium. RNAcentral describes it as "partial 16S ribosomal RNA". It matches the Rfam family "Bacterial small subunit ribosomal RNA", at positions 28 to 507 of the family's 1533-position model. The record is from RNAcentral.